Molecule: long non-coding RNA, 343 nt
Filed under: Homo sapiens (human)
Lineage: Eukaryota; Metazoa; Chordata; Mammalia; Primates; Hominidae
Description: HSALNT0332803
Source: RNAcentral
AUUGUAUUACUAAUUCCCUCUGCUAAUCUAAGAAACUGAAACCACAGCCUGGCCAAGUUUCUAUUAAAAUUAUAGGAAUUUGUACCUUGGUCACUGAGUCUCAGGUUGUUGUAAGGGGCAGCUUCCUCUUAGCAUAACAGGUAACACCUGGAACUAUUUCCCUUGGAGCAGCUGAGCAAAUAGGCUGUACAGGAAGCAUGGCUGGAGAGGCUUCAGGAAACUUACAAUCAUGGCAGAAGGCGAAGAGGGAGGAGGAACGUCUUACAUGGCCGAAGCAGGAGAAAGAGAGCAAAGGUUGUUCGUGUUAAGAUUCUGUGAAGCUACUCAAACAGAUUCACACGGC